CUUGAUACUAUUGAGUUUUUGGCCGUUUGAUGAAAGGAUGUGCGGUUAGGAUGAUAGUGGUCCCCGGUUAAAUUGAUAGUGAUCCCCUAGGGUUGAGUGGGUGGUUGGUUUAAUAGUAUAAUCUAACGGGUGGAAAUAAUCGAAGGGUAGAUCUAACGGUAGAAAACUCAAUAGUACCAAGGGUUUGAUACUAUCAAUAGUAUGAGUAUCCGAGACUUUAUACUUAUAUAAAUAUAAUAACUCUAGUCUAUAUUUAGGGUCCGGCUACUAUACUUUUAUUAGUACGAUCGCCUUCGUACUCAUAAGUUAUUUUCGAUGAUAGAGCUUUCUAAUCGACGAUCCAUACUGUUAAACAUUAUCUAUAGCAUUUAAAACUUAUAGAAAUCAAAUUUUAUAAUUUUUCAAUAUCAUUUACCUUACGAUUACAAGCUCACAAAAAUGACAAUUUUUAACAGCCAGUAUAAAAUAUUUGCUAGUUUAAUGGUGAAAAAGAAUCAGAAUUGGUUGAAUUUUUGAUAGAAAAUUAUAUUCAGUACUUAAAUAAAGAUCAAUAACUCCGAUCUUAAAUUGAAGGAUCCGAUCAUUCAUUUUUAGGAUGUUGUUCAAUUUUAACCAUUCAUUUUAUACCCAUUUGAUGAACUUUAUAAUGAUUUCGAAAAGUUACGAAAUUUAUUUUCUAAAAAUUUCAAAUACUCUGGAUCAUAUUUAACGGUGUGGAUCAUCGAUUCGAAAAGCCCAACAUCAAAAAUAACUUAUGAGUACGAAGAGCUCUAUACUCAAAAGAGUAUAGUAGCCCUACUAUAUAUAUAGAGAGAGAGAGUUGAGCUAGAAUACUCUCAAAAACACCAUUAAGGUGGUGCUUUUGGAAGUAUUCUAGCUCGACUCAUCCUAACCCUACAAUUUCUCAUCCAAGGAUUAAAAACUUGAUAGUAAAAAGAAACUUUUGCUAUCAAUAGUAUUCCAGCCUAUAUAUAUAUAUAUAUAUAUAUAUAUAUAUCGAGAGAGAGAGAGAGAGAGAGAGAGUAGGGCUACUAUACUCUUAUGAGUAUAGAGCCCUUCGUACUCAUAAGUUAUUUUCGAUGUUCAGGCUUCUGAAUCGACGAUCCACACCGUUAAACAUGAUCUAGAGUAUUUGAAACUUCUAAAAAAUAAAUUUCGUAACUUUUCAGUUACGGAAUCAUUAUAAAGUCCAUCAAGCAGAUAUAAAAUGAACGAUCAAAAUCGAACGACAUCAUAAAAAUAGAUGAUCGAAUCCUUCAAUUUAGGAUUGGGAUUCUUGAUCUUUAUCUAGGUAAUGAAUAGUAUUUUCUAUCAAAAAUUCAAGCUAUUUCGAUUUUUUACACCGUUAAACUAGCAAGUAUUACAUACCGGCCGUUAAAAAUUGUCAAUUUUGUGAGUUAUUGAUCGUAAGGUAAAUGAUAUCGAAAAAUUAUAAAAUUUAAUUUCUAGAAGUUUUAAAUGCUCUAGAAAAUAUUUAACGGUAUGGAUCGUUGAUUCGGAAGCUCUAUCAUCGAAAAAGACUUAUGAGUACGAAAGCGAUCGUACUCAUAAAAAUAUAACUAGACUGGAAUACUAUUAAUAGCCACAAUGACUUGGUACUAUUAAAUUUUCUGCUCUUGGAUUAAAAAAAUAUACGGCUAGAAUGAUGUGGGCCCCCUAGAGUUGAGUGGAUGAUUGGUUGAAUAGUAUAAUCUAACGGAUAAAAAUAAUCAAAGGAGUUAAUCUAACGAAAAAAAACUUGAUAGCACCAAGUGCUUGGUGCUAUCGAUAGCAUAGCAACCGUACUCUAUAUAUAUAUAUAUAUAUAUAUAUAUAUAUAUAUAUAUAUAUAUAUAUAUAUAUAUAUUAAAGAGCAAUAGAACCAAACAACGCCUCAACCAAAUGGCAAAAAAAGGACAUCCACUUACCAACCAGCCGAUGAUGUUAGGUUGAAAAGGCUGCUGAUCAACACUUUGCGCCACGAAAUACAUUUAAGCUUUGAAAAAAAAUCACUGAGGACUGAAAAUUGUUCGCUAUCAACUACAACCAGCACGUCAUUCAAUUCAACCUCACAAUGGAAGCCUCUUUUUCACCCGGAUCCAGAAUAUAGGAGAGUCAGCAGAGGCAUGACAAGCCAUGCACAAGAACACACACAGACGGAAAGGGAUAGAACCACAUUCGGUACGCUUGGAAGUACUAAUCAGGUAUCAGGUAUAUAUGAUUCCUGUUGAUGAGAUUACUUCGAUUUAUAACGAUGGUGUAACAUUUUCUUUUUUCCACUUAUCAGGACAUGAAAAUGGGAAGGCUAGCACUCUUCCUGGAUUUGCAGAUCGGACAGAGUUCCACUAAGCGCUCACAGUGCUCACACAAGCACAGAUGCCGGCACGGCAUCAAAAGCAUGCAAACUUCCUGACACUUGCACGACCUACACACCAGCUGCUGACUCAGCUUUCUCGGCUGACGAGGGAAAUCCUCGCCUCCGAUCAGCACAUUAGGGUUGUAAGAAGAGACCGCCGUAUUGUCUACUUCGCUCUCCCCACACCCUUCCUUGGCAUGAUCUCCGGCCCCCCCCUGCGCUAAGGCUUGGUUGAGGUUACUCUUCAGCAUAUUGAUGAUGGACUCAUUGUACCAUGCUCUGCAUUGCCAUGAUUGGGCCUCCAUCGACACUAGCUUGAUCCGUUCGACUAGCUCUUUGUUUUUCCUACUCAUAUUCUCCACCUCGAGCUCUUUCUCACGCAGUUUCCUUCCCACCCCUUUCUCGAUGGCGUUUAGGAAUGCAACUGUGUGCCUCUGGGUCAUCUCUCUCAUGCCUUUCAUCAUUUGUUCCUCCUCGCAAUUACCCAAAAAAAUAGAAAAAAGCUUCAAUUAACAUUGAAAAGCAUAGCUUCAAAAAAUGCAGACAGUCUGGACACAUGGUAUCUAGGUAAUAUCUAUGGAUGAAAACAAAACACUAGACCGAGUUUUAGUACUAAAGAGCCAGGAAAAAAGAGAAUCAAGAGAAAGAGUAAGAAAACAAAACACACUAAUUUACGUAACGUAGUUCGGCCAUUAGCCGGCAUCUACAGGCAAGGACAGAAAAUAUUUCAUUAUAAUCAAAGUUGAGUACCAGAAAGAAGCAUGUCUCCCAGAAAACCCUACCUCAAAAUGCACUCAAUGCUUUCCUCAUCCCAAACACUCACAAAGAAAAGGGGCACAUAUACAUAAGCAACCAAACCAGAUCAAGGCUUAGGAAAUAUCCCGGCCCUAACAAAAUGGGACCCUCAAGAAAAUUUUCCAUUCAUUUCAGCUCCCAAAAAUAUCAAGCCACAACAUAAAGUGGGCCGGGCCCAAAAAUUUGAGACACAUUUAACUAGUUCUAAUUUGACAAGAACAUGGGAUGCAAGACUACCACACAUGAAAAUCUUCCCUAUUAAACAAGACAGCUAUAAAUACCAAGUACGAAACAGCAAUAUGUUUUCUAGUGUAAAUAAUAUUUAUGACUUAAUCCAUAGAACUUAUCAUUUCUGUCAAGAAUGGUUGACCUAAUCAAACCAUGUUAAGCUCAUUCUGACAUGUGAAUAAGAUAUUGACCUUGAGCAACCCAUAGGAUAUCCACUGCAGUUUGUUCUGAUAAAAUGAUAUUGGUAAAAAUCUAGAACAUAGUUUGUGCCCAUAAACAAUAUUUAUGCUCAAAUGCUUUUCACUAAUAAAAGUACGAGCAUCCAGUUGCUUCACAAACAAGUAGGUUACUAGAGAGAUUCUUUUGCCAGCAGAUAAAUGCUAGUUUAGAAAAAUAAUCUGGCAAAUCUUUCUGCAAGAAAAGUAAAAUAUGCAUGUUGAAAUAUUCCCUAAAUGAGUCAUAAAACUAAUAUGUGCAUGUUCAACGAUUCCCUAAAUCACAUAAAGCAGUUAGAAUGCAUCAGUUCUUACAAAACGGAAUAUAUUUCCUCACAUACUACAUAAAUCACAUAAAAUGCGCAAUAUAUGGGCGUAAGGUAUCAAGUAUCAACUAGAACAAUUCAUCUCUCUACACAUGCAGCAAAAUUUGCCUGCAGCCCAAAUAUAUAAUGUUGUCGUAAAAAUGCGUACCUGAAUUUUAAUGUAAUUAUCAAACUCUUCAUUUUGCCGGUCAAUCUCAGCCCUCAGAUCAUCACUAAUGGACAUCAUGAUAGGAAGUGAAGUCAUGCUUCCACUAGCAGAUGUAAUAGAGGAGUUGUGUUCAUCAUCAUCAUAGGAGAGUCUUAACCCGGUUGACACAGCAUUUGGAUUGCGGAAACCCAUUGCUAUUCGAUCAGCCUCGUCCUGGCCAAAAUUGCCCAAGGAAAUCUGAAGCUUGUACUGCCUUUCCGUGUCAUCCAUCUCCCUCUUUAUUUGGUUUGGUUGGCUUAGACCAGAAAAAUUAUGAUGUCCGACAUUGUUAACAGGACCAACGUUACAUGUAGCAGGAACUGCAUUAAUAUCAAGAAGAAAGAAAAAAAAAAUCAGUCUAUAUGAGAACCAAAAGUUUCUUCUACUCAGUUAAUAUGGCUUUUCUAGUAAGUACUAAAGCAUGACCCACUUCCUUCUAUUUAAAAUGCAACAGACACCGUCUAAUUCAGACACUAUGCAUAAAAACUUGUCUCAAAAAAUACAUGUAUAAACAUUGCACAAGUGGCUUACAACUGUGAUUUGUAUACUGACUGGUUCCUUUUAGAAAAUUCUUGCUUCACAAGGCCCUAUUUUGUAUGAGGAUAAUGUUGAGAUAUAUAUAAUUCUAUAUGAGUCCGGCUACUAUGACUAUAUCAAUAGUAUUAAGCUCUUGAUACUAUCGAAUUUUCUGCCGUUAGAUCUAUCCUUUGAUCAUUUCCACCGUUAGAUUAUACUAUUCAACCAACCACCCCACUCAAGCCUGAUGGACCACUAUCAUCCUAACUGCACAUCCUUUCAUCCAAUGGCCGAAAACUCGAUAGUACUAAACGUGGUACUAUCGAUAGUAUAGUAGCAUAAUUCCAUUAUUAUUAUAUAUAUAUAUAUAUAACAGUUGGACUGGGCUACUAUUAGUAGCAAAAUCUCAUUGUUGCACUACAAUUUUUUAGCCUUUAGAUCAACUCUUUUCAUUAUUUCUAACCAUUGGAUUAAAUACUAUAACCCAGUGAGGACCACUCAACCCUAGGGGGACCACUCAACUCUAACGACUAAUAUCAUUUUGACCCUACAAUUUUCAUCCAAGGGUUAAAAACUUGAUAGCAAAAAGAGCGUUUUACUAUUAAUAGUAUUCAGCCUAAUCUAUAUAUACAUAUAUGAGUUCGGCUACUGGUAUACUAUCGGUAGCACAGAGGCUUCUGUGCUACCAAUUUGUUUUUCGAUGAUGCGCUUCCAAAUCGACGAUCGCUCCAUUAGACUUGAAUCUACACUAUUGAAAGUACUUGAAACUAAAUUUCAGAAUUUUCGACAUCAUUUGGCUAGUGAUCAAAAGGUCUCAAAAUUGACAAUUUUAAUGGUAGAUGUGAUGCAUUUGUAAAUUUAACGGUGUAAAACAAUUCAAAUCAAAUGAAAUUUGCAUAGAAAAUUCUUUUUACUAUUUAGAAUAAGAUCAGUACCUCUGAUCUUAAAUUCAAGUCUUCUAUCAUCAUUUUUUAUGAAAUUUUUAUUUUCGGCCGUUCAUUUUUAGACUACUCUUUUGAUAGAUAAAUGAUACCGAAAAGUUAUGAAAUUUAGUUUCCAAAUACUUUCAAUAGUGUAGAUCAAGUCUAACGGAGCCGAUCGUCAAUUUGGAAGCGGCAUCAUUGAAAACAACUUGGUAGCACAGAGGCAUCCGUGCUACCGAUAGUAUAGCAGCCUAGCUCUAUACAUAUAGGCUAGGGCUACUAUACUCUUAUAAGUAUAACCCUUUUUGUACUCAUAAAUUUUCGACCAUUGGACGAAGAGAUGUGCGGUUAGGAUGAUAGUGGUCUCCUAGGAUUGAGUGGGUGGUUGGUUGAAUAGUAUGAUCUAACGGAUGAAAAUGAUCAAAGAAGUAAAUCUAACGGCAAAAAACUUAUGAGUACAAAGGGCCCUAUACUCAUAAGAGUAUAGUAGCCGGGCUCUCUCUAUAUAUAUAUCUAUAUAUAUAUAUAGAAAAAGAGAGAGAGAGAAAGAGAGAGGUCCGACUUUUAUGCUUUUAGAAGCAUGGUGACCUCUAUGCCGUCAAGUCGUUUCCGAUGCUAAGAUAUCCGAAUCAAUGAUCGGCUUCAUUAGACUUGGAGUAUUUGAAAAAUAAAUUUCGCAGUGUCUUGAUAUCAUUUACCUAGUGAUCAAAGAGCCCAAAAUCAACAAUUUUAAUGGUCAUAGAAAGCCUUUAGUAAGUUUAACAAUGUAAAAAUAUCCAAAUCAUAUAAAAUUUUGAAAGAAAAUAUUUUAUAAUAUAUAAAAUAAGAUCAAUAUCGUCGAUCUAAAAUUUUAGUUGUUCGUUGAUUUUAAGCUCUUUCAAUCACUAGGUAAAUGAUAUCGAAAAAUGGCGAAAUUUAUUUUCUAGCUACUUCAAAUACUCUAGAUCAAGUAUAAGGGAACCGAUCAUCGAUUCAGAAGUCUCAAUAUCAAAAACGACUUAAUAACACGGAAACCACGUGCUUCUAAAAGCGCACAAGCAGGACUAUAUAUAUAUAUAUAUAUAUAUAUAUAUAUAUAUNUUACUACUAUCUUCUGAACUUAAAUUCUAGUCUCUAUGACUAGAAUAAGAUUUAUCAUUUUUUUUAAAAGAUACUUUUAAAGUAGACUAAACUUAACAAAAUGUGGCAAUUUAAAUGUUUACGUAGUGUAGAUGGUAAUUUUAACAGUUAAAACUCUGGAAAACUAGUGAUCGGUUUACUACAGCUUUUUAAGACUUUAAAUCAAAGGUUCAUGAAAGUAAUCACAUCUAGUUCAGAUUGCCUCGGCUAGCAGCUAAACCUUCGACGUAGUAGCUUUUGUUGAACCAUCGUGCCUUCGGAGACACGAUGGCUAUCAUAUUUUUAUGAGAUUUUUAUUUUCAGCCAUUCAUUUUUAGACUACUCUUUUGAUAGGUAAAUGAUACCGAAAAAUUACGAAAUUUAGUUUCCAAAUACUUUCAAUAGUGUAGAUCAAGUCUAACGGAGCCGAUCGUCGAUUUGGAAGCGGCAUCAUUGAAAACAACUCGGUAGCACGGAAGCAACCGUGCUACCGAUAGUAUAGCAGCCUAGCUCUCUAUAUAUAGGCUAGGGCUACUAUACUCUUAUGAGUAUAACCCUUUUGUACUCAUAAGUUUUCGACCAUUGGACGAAGAGAUGUGCGGUUAGGAUGAUAGUGGUCUCCUAGGAUUGAGUGGGUGGUUGGUUGAAUAGUAUGAUCUAACGGAUGAAAAUGAUCAAAGAAGUAAAUCUAACGGCAAAAAACUUAUGAGUACAAAGGGCCCUAUACUCAUAAGAGUAUAGUAGCCGGGCUCUCUCUAUAUAUAUAUCUAUAUAUAUAUAGAAAAAGAGAGAGAGAAAGAGAGAGGUCCGACUUUUAUGCUUUUAAAAGCAUGGUGACCUCUAUGCCGUCAAGUCGUUUCCAAUGCUAAGACAUCCGAAUCAAUGAUCGGCUUCAUUAGACUUGACUUGGAGUAUUUGAAAAAUAAAUUUCGCAGUGUCUUGAUAUCAUUUACCUAGUGAUUGAAGGGGCUCAAAAUCAAUAAUUUUAAUGGUCGUGGUGAGCCGUUUGCAAGUUUAACGGUGUAGAAAUAUCCAAAUCACGUAAAAUUUUGAAAGAAAAUAUUUUAUAAUAUAUAAAAUAAGAUCAAUAUUGUCGAUCUAAAAUUUUAGUUGUUCGUUGAUUUUGAGCUCUUUCAAUCACUAGGUAAAUGAUAUCGAAAAAUGGCGAAAUUUAUUUUCUAGCUACCUCAAAUACUCUAGAUCAAGUAUAAGGGAACCGAUCAUCGAUUCAGAAGUCUCAAUAUCAAAAACGACUUAAUAACACGGAAACCACUGUGCUUCUAAAAGCGCACAAGCAGGACUAUAUAUAUAUAUAUAUAUAUAUAUAUAUAUAUAAAAAUAUACAUACGUAUGCAUACAUUCAUACAUACAUACAUAUAUAUAUAGAACUAGGCUGGUAUAUCGGUUGCUACCAAGUUGUUUUCAAUGAUGCGGCUUCCAAAUAGACGAUCGGCUCCGUUAGACUUGAUCUACACUAUUAAAAAUAUUUGGAAACUAAAUUUCAUAAUUUUUCGACAUCAUUUGACCAGUGAUCAAAAGAUCCCAAGUUAACAAUUUUAAUGGUAGAUGCGAUGCGUUUGUGAAUUUAACGGUGUAAAACAAUCCAAAUCUGAUGAAAUUUUUAUAGAAAAUUAUUUUCACUAUUUAGAAUAAGAUCAUUACCUCUGAUCUUAAAUUCAAGUCUUUUAUUAUCAUUUUGUAUGAAAUUUUUAUUUUCAGCCGUUUAUUUUUAGACUACUCGUUUAAUAGGUAAAUGAUACCGAAAAAUUAUUAAAUUUUGUUUCCAAAUACUUUCAAUAUGAGGAACAAUCCCACGGUGGAAAGGAGCAAAUAGUAGCCCAACUCCAACUUGAAGAUAAUAGAAUGGCCGAUGCAGUGGUAUUCGAGAAGUCAUCGGCCUAACAAACUAGGUGAUGCGGUGGUAUUCGAGAAGUCAUCGGCCUAACAAACUAGGUUUGUUGGCAUUAAUAGAAGGACGGCCUGUAGGCCAAGUCAUGAUUGGUCAAUGUCAUGCCUACAUUUUUUAAAAAAUUAAGCAAGAGUGAAGACGAGCUUAAGCCUAUUGAUACAACCAUGACCGACCUCAUUGGAAACAAUCAACAGGCCAAAAAUAUACUCACUACCAAGCUUACAGUUGGGUCCAAAAUCCUCCGAAGAGUCUGAAUAGCUUUCUUUAUGGUGGAUGCAGAUAGCCAUUACAAUCUGUUGCUCGGGCAUGACUAGAUCCAUGCUAAUGAAUGCGUACCGUCUACCUUGCACGAAAAACUAUUUUAGUGGGUUGGAGAUCGUGUCAAGGAAAUCAUGGUCGAGGGAAGACGGCAGACGGUGGAUAUCAAUGUGGAAGGCGCCGGCCAUAUCAGCGAGGCUGAUACUGACCCGGACCAAAUUUCAUUUGUUUAGGUUCGGGUUACGGAAGAAGUACAACUGGUGCUCCUAAAGGAAGCAAAGGCAUUGGUGGCUACCGAAGAGCCCACCAAACUGGUUGAAAUGGAACGUCAAAAGCUAGGAGUCGAGGCUCUAGAUGAGCUUUGGCAUAACAAGCCGAUUGAAGAAGUUGGCUACUCCAUUGAAUCAGUCGAGUUGGCUAAUGAAAGAUCAUGCAUUAAAAUUUUAAUUUUAGAGGAUGAUUUAAAUAAAAAUGAUUCAGCUCAAGUAGCAAAGACUGUAACAAUGCCUAAUGAUAACAGCGCUAAGAUUCAUGAAGGGAUCAAGACAAUGCAUGGAAGAAUCGCCAAUCAAGGUCGACGAGAAAAGGCUGAAAACUCAAGAUCCACUAUUGGAAGUGAACCUAUGGUCGGACAACGACAAACGGCCAACAUUUAUUAGCGCUAAACUCUGGGCAUAACAACAGGAGGAGCUAACAAGGUUGCUGAAAAAAUACAAAAACUGCUUCGCCUGAAAUUACGAAGAAAUGUCAGAAUUGAGCCGAAAAAUUGUAGAACAUCGGCUCCCUAUAAAGGAGUAUAAGCCUUAUACACAGCCAGCUAGUAGGUUUGAGCCAAAUAUUGUAUUAAAAAUCAAAAAUGAAAUUGAAAAUCUUUUAAAAGUCGAAUUUAUUAGAGCGGCUAGUUACGUUGAUUUGGUGUCCAAUAUAGUCCCAGUACGAAAAAAGAAUGGCAAACCUAGAGUUUGCAUUGAUUUUAGAAAUCUAAAUCUGACUACACCCAAAGACAUAUAUCCGAUGCCCAUAGCUGACAUGCUAGUGGACUCGACAGCCGGAUAUAAAAUGUCCUUUAUGUUCGGUCAUGCCGGCUACAAUCAGAUUUUUAUUGUCGAAGAAGAUAUAGCGAAAAUGGCUUUUAGAUGCGCAGGGUCCAUUAGGACUUUCGAAUGGAUAGUAAUGCCUUACGGCUUGAAAAAUGCCGGAGCCACUUAUCAAAGGGCAAUAAAUUUCAUUUUUCAUAAUUUGAUCGGUAAAAUGCUAGAAAUUUACAUUAAUGAUAUCAUUGUAAAAUUUAAAUCACAAACCGAUCAAUGGACCGAUUUAGAGCUCGCUUUCAAGCGCAUGAGGAAAUACAAUUUAAAAUGAAUCCCUUGAAAUACGCAUUUGGAGUAAAAAAAAUUGCAGAGCCUACUAGGAAAGAUAAAUUAUUUACGGCGCUUCAUAUCAAAUUUAGCCGGCAAAAUAGGAGUAUUCAGUCCAUUACUUCGGCUUAAAGAUCAAGAGGAGUUUAUCUAGACAAGAGAGCAACAAGAAGUUUUUGAAAGUAUUAAAAAAUAUUUAGCGAAUCCUUCGGUGCUCAUUCUUUCUCAGUAAGGUCAGCUGAUGAAGUUGUAUAUAUCGGCUGCAGAAGAAAAUCAGGGAUGUCUAUUAGCUUAGGAAAACAUGUUAAAAGAAGAGCAGGCUAUCUAUUAUCUCAGCCGAACAUCUGUUGGAUGCCGAACAAUGUUAUUCGGCAAUAGAAAAAUUGUAUUUAGCAUUGUAUUAUGCUUGUACUAAAUUGAGAGAUUACAUUUUACCAGUAAAAGUGUCGGCUGUUUGUAAAACCGACCUGAUAAAAUAUAUAUUGUCUAAACCAAUGUUAAAAGAAAGAAUUGGACGAUGGAUGUUAACUUUGUCCGAAUUUUCUCUUAAUUAUGUCCCGGCAAAGGCGGUUAAGGGACAAGCAAUAGCUGAUUUCCUAACUAGCCACCCAUGCGUUGAGAUUGAAGAGCCGAUGCAAAACUUGGUCGGUUGCCGAUCUUGGACGCUCUAUUUUGACGAGUUCAGAAUAACCGAAUCAGCAUAAGGCGAAAUAAACAUACAAUCUCCUGAAGGUGACAGUUCCUAUUUUGCUUUCGAACUAGACUUCAGCCGCUCUAACAAUUAAACCGAAUAUGAGGCUUUAAUAAUCAGCCUCGAGAUUUUACAGGAGUUAGGGGCACGCUUUGUAAAAGUCAUCGGUGAUUCACAAUUAGUGAUAAAACAGGUGGUUGGAGAAUACCGAUGCAAAAGUUGAAAUUUGCAAAAUUAUUUGAAUAAAACAAUAGGAGUACUUAGCAUAUUCAGGGAAGUAUAGUUUGUACAUCUAUCAAAAGAAGAGAAUGAGCAAACUAAUGAUUUAGCUCAAUCGGCUUCAGGAAAUAGAGAGCCGAAAGGAAGCCAAGUUAAAAUAGGAAGAAGGUUGCUAAAUCGGUAUAUACACAAGAGCCGAUGAUGAUCGCUCCAGUAGAAGUACAGGAUGAUUGGAGAAAAUCUUUAGUGGAAUUUCUCAAUGAUCCAAAUAAACGGGUCAACUAUCACCUGCGAAAGAGAGUGCUCGGUUAUUGUUUGUUAAAUGGACAACUCGAUAAAAGAACAGCCGAAAAAGUGUUGCUAAGAUGUUUAGGACUUGAUGAAGCCUAAAUAACUAUAGGUGAAGCCCAUGAAGGCUUAUGUAGAACACACUUGGCCGAAAAAACAUUAAGGUGGAUCAUUCGGCAUUUACGAUAUUAUUGGCUGACCAUGCACGAAGAUUGCAUCAAAUAUGUUAGAGAAUGUCAAGAAUGUCAAUUUUAUAGAUCGAUACAAAGAGUUCCGACUUCCGAGAUGCAUGCAAUCAACAGGCCUUGGCUCUUUCAUUGUUGGGAUAUGGAUUUAAUUGGAGAAAUUCAACCGAACUCUCCGGCUGGACAUAUAUUCCUAAUAGUGAUCGUAAAUGUAUUUUACCAAGUGGGUGAAAGCAAAACCUAGAAAAUUAGCCACUGAGAAGGACAUUAUAGAAUGUGGAAGACUAUCAUUCAUCGUAUCGAAAUUCCUGAGACGAUCACAACUGACCAAGAAACGAUGUUCACAGAGGAACAGUUCUCAAGGUUCGUAGAGUCAAGACAAAUCAAGUUGCUCCAUUCGUCAUCCUAUUUAUGCGCAGGUAAAUGGACAUGUUGAAGCAAUGAACAAAAUUAUCAUAAACCUUAUGAAACGGCAUAUUGGAAAACAACCAAGAAAGUGAAACGAGAAGCUCUCUUAAGUAUUAUGGGCAUGUCAAACAAUUGUCAAAACAACGACAGGAGUUACACCAUUUCAACUGGUCUAUGGUCACGAGGCUGUAGUACUGACCGAAAUAAUAGUUGCCUCAUUAAGAGUCGACGGACAAAAGGAGUAGAUAGCAAGGAAAUAUGAAACUUUGAUGAAUAAAAAGUUAGACAAAAUAAAUGAGAUUCGGCUGUUGGCACUUGACCAUUUGCAAGCUUAUCAUAGCUAAAUAGCGCAUACAAUAAGAGAGUAGCGCAUACAAUAAGAGAGUAAAGGCUAAAUCCUUCUCAGUCGAAGAUUUAGUCUUAAAAUUAGUACUAUCGAUCGGCCGAAAAGGCCAAUGUAUGAAAAAUGGUCUCCAAAUUGAAAGGGGUCGUUCCAAGUAUACAAAGUUGCAAGAGGCAACGCAUAUAAAACUUUGAUGAAUGAAAAGUUGGACAAAAUAAACGACUCGACUACUGACGCUUGACCAUUUGCAAGCUUAUCAGAGCUGAGUAAGUAGUGCAUACAAUAAGAGAGUUAAAGCUAAAUCCUUCUUAGUCGGAGAUUUAGUCUUAAAAUUAGUACUACCGAUCGGCCGAAAUGGCCGAAUCCAAAUUGGAAGGGGUAGUUCUAAAUAUACAAAGUUACAAGAGGCAAAGCAUAUUUUCUAAGGACAUUGGGAGGAUCAGAAAAUGACAAGCCAAUUAAUGAAAAAUAUUUAAGAAAAUACUAUCCGUCUAUAUUGAAAAGUGAAUAAAAGAGUCAAAAUAAAACAUACAAAAGUAAAUGUCAAAAUAUAUUACAGCUAAAAUAAGAGUGAGAAGCCAAAGGAAAAAUCAAGAUAAUAAGUCUUUGAGCUAAUUCCUUUCGGUUCCCAAAUUAGACUAGGCAAGAUCGGUUGUUCGCUUCCUUCGCUUCAUCACGAGAUGUAGUUUGUAGAGUCGGGAGAGCUGACUAUGUAUCGCCAUCCUUUCGUCUUUCUUGGCCUGGAAUUGGGUCGGUAGGAAAGCACGCUCUUCAGAUGUUUGGGCCAACGCUUUUUCGGUUUCGGCAAGUUCUUUCUUAAGGUACGUAAUACGCUGCCGAAGGGCCGACUCCUAGUUUUUCAAAAUAUCAUCUCGCUUGUCAAAGUCGGUUAAUGGAGUUACUACCUCAAUAGCCUUCACCUUGAAAGAGCCAACUUGCAAGAAGUGUUCAUCCAAAGCAAUAUGCUCGACAGAGAGUGCUUGUUGCCAAACCAGAAAAGAAGAGAGAUGAGCAAAUAAGGUUUCUGCAAAACAUCUACCUGAAGGGGGCAGAUCAGGCUGAUCCAAGAGAUCGAGGAGCGCUCCAAGCCGAUCAAAUUGUACUAAGCUCCGAACUAAGGUAGGAAGACCGCUGCUGUAUAAUCUCAAACAUUCAACCAGUUUUUGUCGAGUGUCAAUGGAUAUACUAGUUGGUAGAUCUUCUUCACUGGAUUUAGGGCUCGAAGUAGCCUAUUCUUGGAGAGAGAUGGCCAGCACAUCCGCCGGUUUGGGCGCCGGCGCAACAGUCGAAGCGUAAGUCUUAAUUGGAGGUUCAACAGACGGAUUUGGAACAACCUCCUGCCUGAUCUUAAUUUUCUCUUCGACUUGUCUCUUUUCUUCUUCUUUCUUCCUUCUUUCUUCUUCCUUUUUCUCCCUUUCUAUUCUCAUUUCCUUUUUUCUCUCUUUUUUCUCUUCUAUUCUUUUCUUUUUUUCUUCUUGCUUUUCUUUUUUUCUUCUUUCUUUUCUUCCUUCCUUCUUUUUUCUAUUUUUCUUUAUUUCCUUCCUCUUCAAUCUUCUUUCCUUUGUUGGUUCGUCAUUUUCCUCUUCCUGCCUUUUGUCAAGACGAGCUUCCCGACGAGCCUGCCUCUCGACAUCAGAAAUUGCCUUCCCAAGCGCCGAGGUAAAACAAGCGUGUGAGAUUUUUUCUAGAAGAUGUCUCUUUCAGCUGCUUGACGAAGGGGAUAAUGGAGGUGACCCGACUGAAAAGCGAGAAAAAGAAAAAGGAUCGAUUAAGAUAGGCUGAGAAUUUACCUCGGCCGAUGAGAGAAUUUGAUUAGGAAGAAUCGACUGGCGUUGGUUCUUUUCUUAAAAAAUUCUAAAAUAUGUCGGGAAGUCGACCGGCUGACCCGAGGUUAAAGGUUCCGAGCAGUCGAGAGCUAAACAAUAUGUGUCAAAUGGGGAGCUGAAUUCAUAUUCAAGGGAGUUCGGCACAAAAAAAGGAAAUAAAUUUGCAAACAUAGUUGCAAAAACCACAAAACACAACAGCCAAAGCCGAUUACUACACCAUUUUCUGACGACAGUGGUUUGAUCAAUGAAUUGAUUCAAAAUUUUUCGACAUACAAAAGAAAGAAAAUAUGCACCUAAUGCUAGCUUCUUGCCGUUAGCUAGGGCAAUGGCGAUAGGAAUGAAAUCUCGGUUGAUCUUCUGUGAGCGAGUGUAGAAGAGGUUGUGGCAGAGCCAGUAGAGGAGAAAGGCAUUAUGCUCUUCUUGGUGACUGGAGUAGGGGCCUGACCUGCGAACCGUCGCAUGAACUUGGUAUAAGUAAAGUCUGCAUUCGAAUCCAAAUAGGCUUCAAAAUCUGUCACUCCAUCAGGAUUGUAGGCAAUUGAAAGAGUGAUGUCGUGAGGUCGGAGACCGACUAUCGCUGCCACGUGAAGGGCCCCGUCCUCAAAAAGGUGUUGGAGACUGAGAACCAGAAACAAAAGCUGCAGCGAGAAAAAGAUUAUCGGCUUGAGGAGGAACUUUCAAAAGUUGAAUGGCUUCGUAAAUUCCAACGUCGCGCCAGAUUUCGGCAUAAGAUUCCACAACUCGAUCCAACCAGGCCAGAUAAGCGUCUUAAACGCUAGAUCAAGUCCGGAGGCUUUUUCCUUAUGAUUUCAAGGUGGACCAAGAAAGAAGAUGGAUGACAUCAGCCAUCAAAGGAAGACCAUCAGCCGAGAAAGGAAAAUCGUCAGGUGCAGGGGUCUCCACAAAAGAAGGACCAAGCACAAAUCAAGAGGGAUCCGAUUCAACAUAUUGUCUGAGGAGGGUAUAGUCAAGAGAUGGAGAUGAAGAAAGCGAGGGAAUCAAAAUCGAAGCCAUUGAAAGAAAAGCUUAGAAGCUAAGGAAAAAGAAAGAGAAUGGAGAAAAAGAUGAAGAGGCGUGAAAAUAAAGUCUCAGUUUGAGAAAGAGAAAAAAAAAAAAGAAGAGGGAAAACGAAUAAGCGUGAGAAAAGCAAAGCCGCUAAAGGGGAUUUCAAAAAGAGGGCUUUAAUAAUGAGGUGAUGGCAACCAUAAGUGACCUAAUUAAUGCCUCAGAUGAGACAAAAGGAAUAUGAAAGAUCGUAGCCGUCAAAGGACGAAAGGAAAGGACGGCUAAGAAAAAUGGAUAGUGCAGAGCACUUUCAGAAUGAAAGAAUGCAAGUCGCUAAACUAGAUAAUGCCAGCCACCCAAACAAUCGUUCGGGAGCUGCAGGGGGGCUUUGUUAGUGCCAUAAAAAUUGUGCCACGUGAUGAACCGGGACGCACCGCGGGAAUGGUUCUCAAAGCCAAAUAUAAAGUGACAUGUGGUGCACCAAGAUUUGAGAACAAUGCACCCAAAAACCGAAAACCGGUUAGAGUUGAUGCAGUUAGAACCAACAAAAAGUAGCCCGUAGAAGAAGGGACAUGGCCGAUAGUGGGGAAUAACUGAAUAUAUAACAAACGGAACUAUAAAUAGUCAAAGACGCCUGACAUAUGGUCUUUUUCUCCUGAGAACAAGAAAAUCAAUUUAUUUUUGUGUAUUUUUUCUCAUUCUAGGAGUAGUCUACUUGUAAUCUCUCUUUCUCUUGCAUUUCUUGUUUUUCUAGUAGUUAAGUUAGUUUCCCUUAAAAUCAGACGCCUUAGUGGCAUCCACCUUUCUGUAAACAUUCUUUGGUAAUAUAUAUUAGCAUUAUUCGGCUCAUUUCAGUCGAACCGAACAUACAAUGUAGCAUUUGAGCUCGACUAGUCAGAUCCCUUGUAAGCUGAAUCGCUCGAACCAAUUGUGGGCACAAACUUCGAGGGUCACUAUCAGAAGCCGCUCCACUUUUGCACGCUUCCCAAAGGAGGACAUUUGACCAAGUCAACGGUCUAGGAGUUCGGCUCAUAACACAUAUGUAUACAUGUACAUAUGUAUGUAUACAUACAUAUAUAUGUAUACAUACGUAUGCAUACAUAUGUAUACGUGUAUGUGCAUAUAUUGAGAGUUCAUCUACAAUACUAUCAAAUAGUAAAUGAAUAGUGUUUGCUAUCAACUUUUUAUCCCUUGGAUCCAUAAUAGUGCCACCACCACAUAGCCAACCCUAUGCAUUCAAGGUAUAAAAGGUAGAUAGCAAACACUAUUCCUCUACUAUCAAUAGUAUUCUAGUCUCUCUAUGUGUGUGUGUGUGUGUGUGUGUAUGUAUAUAUAUGAUAUACAUACACACACACACACACACAUAUAUAUAUAUAUAUAGAGUUGAGCUAGAAUACUAUCGAUAGCAAACGGGCUACGUUGCCACCCAUUUGUUUUCGAUGAUAGAGCCUCCAAAUCGACGAUCGGCACCGUUGAACAUGAUCUAUACCAUUUGAAGUGUUUAGAAAUCAAAUUUCAUACAUUUUCGAUAUUGUUAUCUUAUCCAUCGAGUGGACACAAAAAUGAACGGCUGAAAAUGAAUAUUCCUUAAAAAAUGAUGAUAGGAGCCUUGUAAUCAAAAUCAAGAGUAUAGAUCUUGUUUUAAAUAGUUUAAUGAAUUUUCUAAUAAAAAUUCAAUUGAUUUGGAUAUCUUUACGCCGUUAAACGAGAAAACGACUCAUAUCGACCAUUAAAAUUACAAAUUUUGAAACCCUUUGAUCAUUAGGUAAAUGAUGUCGAAAAGAUUUGAAAUUUGAUUUCUAAACACUUAAUGUGGUAUAGAUCAUGUUCAACGAUGCCGAUCGUCGAUUUGGAGGCUCUAUCACCGAAAACAAAUGAGUGGCAACGAAGCUAUCGAUAGUAUUCUAGCUCAACUCCAUAUAUAUAUAUAGGCUAGGGCUACUAUACUCUUAUGAGUAUGAAGGAUGACUAUAGAGCCCUUCAUACUCAUAAGUUGUUUUCAAUGAUGGAGCUUCCGAAUUGACGAACUACUCUGUUAAAUAUGAUUUAGAGUAUUUGAAACUUCUAGAAAAUAAAUUUCAUAAUUUUUCGAAAUCAUAAUAAAGUUCAUCAAGCGGAUAUAAAAUGGACGGUCAAAAUCGAACGACAUCUUAAAAAUGUAUGAUCGGAUCCUUCAAUUUAAGAUCAGAGUUAUUGAUCUCUAUCUAUGUAGUGAAUAAAAUUUUCUAUCAAAAAUUCGACCAAUUUCGAUUCUUUUACACCGUUAAACUAGCAAAUUUCCUAUACCGGCCAUUAAAAAUUGUCAAUUUUGUGACCUUUUGAUCGUAAGGUAAAUGAUGUUGAAAAAUUAUAAAAUUUUAUCUCUAGACAUUUUAAAUGCUUUAGAUAACGUUUAACGGUGUGGAUCGUCGAUUGGGAAGCUCUAUCAUCAAAAACAACUUAUGAGUACGAGGGCGAUCGUACUCAUAAGAGUAUAGUAGCCGGAUU
Molecule: long non-coding RNA, 17600 nt
Filed under: Ananas comosus (pineapple)
Lineage: Eukaryota; Viridiplantae; Streptophyta; Magnoliopsida; Poales; Bromeliaceae
Description: long non-coding RNA (ACOM_LNC019810)
Source: RNAcentral